Molecule: long non-coding RNA, 1900 nt
Organism: Dioscorea cayenensis subsp. rotundata (Guinea yam)
Lineage: Eukaryota; Viridiplantae; Streptophyta; Magnoliopsida; Dioscoreales; Dioscoreaceae
Exons: 3
Source: RefSeq, a predicted model, not a curated record
UAUAGUUCGUAGACACCUUUACUAUAAUGGAUUUAUGCUUGGUUAUACAACUUGGACUUCUCAUGGAGAAUAUGAAAUUGGGCAAUCUUCUAGAUAUGGAGAUGAACAUGAUGACACAAUGUCUCAAGUGGAAUCCCAAAAUCCCUAUACUCAAAUGAUUAAGGAUCUUAUGGGUCCAACUUUUAAUAUUCCUCCUUAUCAUGGUAAUAGCUCAAGUUUUGUGGAAGAAGAACCAAAUCCCAAAGCAGCUACAUUCUGUUCUUUAUUGCAUGAUGCAGAUGAACCAUUAUAUCAAGGUUGUGACAAGUACACAAAGUUAUCAGCUUUAUCACAAUUGCUAAAUUUAAAGUCUGAGUUUAACAUGAGUGAAGCAUGUUUUGAUCGUCUUGUGGUGAUGAUUAAGAAUAUGCUUCCAGAAGAUGCAUGCCUACCUGACAACUUUUAUAGAACAAAACAAAAGAUGAAAAAUCUUGGUAUGGGUUAUGAGAAGAUUCAUGUUUGUCAAAACAAUUGCAUGUUGUUUUAUAAAGAAGCCAAUGAUCUUAACCAUUGUUCUGUUUGUGGGCAUCCUCAGUAUAAGAUGAGACAAAUGGGGAAAUAAAAAAAAGGGGAAGCAAAAGGAGAUUCCAUGCAAAAUUUUACGUUAUUUGCCACUUAUACCGAGACUUCAAAGGCUUUAUAUGUCAGCAAAGACUGCUGAAAACAUGACAUGGCAUGCAACUAAUCAAAGUGAUGAUGGUGUACUUAGACAUCCUGUUGAUGGGAAGGCAUGGCAACAUUUUAACGAAACAUAUCCAUCUUUUAGUCAAGAACCUCGUAAUGUGAGACUCGGGCUAUGUGCUGAUGGUUUUAGUCCUUUUGGACCUGCAGCAAAACCAUAUUCUGUUUGGCCAGUAAUGCUUGUUGUGUACAAUUUGCCUCCUUGGAUGUGUAUGAAGCAACCAUACAUAUUUCUUAAUAUGGUUAUUCCAGGGAAAAAAAGUCCCAGCCAAAACAUUGAUGUGUUCUUGCGGCCUUUGAUAGAUGAGUUGAACCAACUAUGGGAUGAUGGUAUCCUAACGUAUGAUGCUUUUUUAAGAAACAGAAUUUCAUAAUGAGAGCAUCAUUGUUAUGGACAAUUAAUGAUUUUCUGGCUUAUGGCAUGUUGUCCAGUUGGAGUACUCACGGAACUUUAUCAUGUCCUUAUUGCAUGGGGCAUAUUAAGUCCUUCAGGUUGGUUCAUGGUAGGAAGCCAUGUUUUUUUUAUUGCCAUCGUCAGUUUUUGCCAAGGGAUCAUCCUUUUAGGAGGCAAAAAUAUAACUUUUCAAAAAGACUUGAGCAUGACUAUCCAAUUCCUCGAUUAUCAGGUGAAGAAAUAUUGACACAGUUGAAUUGCUUUCCAGAUAUUACAUGUGGUACUAAAUGCAACGAAGAUAAGCUUAUGGGGUUUGGAGAAAGCCAUAAUUGGGUGAAGAAAAUUAUAUUUUGGGAGUUACAUGUGGUCCUUCCACUAGUACUCCGCAUAUGAAUACUUCUCUUAAUGAUGAUAAAAUUGUGAGUUUAGAGGAGAAGCUUGAAUCAUUGACCGGUGAUGUGAGUCAAAUGAAGAAUGCUAUAGGUGAUAUAAGCGAUUUGAAAAAUCAAUUUCAGAUUAUGAUGAGUUUCAUGAUGGAGAAAUUUGGAUCAAAUAUGCCUCCAUCAACAACUAAAUGAUUUUAGGAAGACAUUUGGGAAAGAAGAUGGGAAUAAAAACUCAAGGGACAAUGGUCAAGAAGAGGGAACAAAAAAAAACUCAAGGUAAUUCUAUGUAUGCUAAUGAUGGAUCUUUGCUUAACUUUGUUUAUUGGUGAUAAUUGUAUUGAUGGAUUAGAAAAUUGUUGAUGAUGGAUUUUUCAUUGUGAUGUAAUGUUGGAACAUUUGU